Molecule: long non-coding RNA, 1860 nt
Organism: Solanum dulcamara
Lineage: Eukaryota; Viridiplantae; Streptophyta; Magnoliopsida; Solanales; Solanaceae
Exons: 3
Source: RefSeq, a predicted model, not a curated record
ACACUAAGGGUGUGUUUGGUAUGGACGAAAAUGUUCAACUUUUUAAUGAAUGUUUACUCACGUAUAUAGUUAUAACACGAAUAAUAAGGUCAUCAUUUCCCAAGUUUUGUUGCUCCUCUUGUAUUUGCUCUGCUGAAACAAGAACAGAAAGCAUACAUUUGUAUAGUUCAAUCAGCUGUGGUGUCUGAAUUCUCCGCGAAGUCCAAAGGAAUUUGCUCCAACGAAUUGCAAUCUGUUAGGACUAAUAAGUGCUCAAGGCUCGGGAAAUGAUAAGCAAAUACUUUAGUCGCGAGAAUCCAUCUUCCUCUUCAUCGCUUAGUUUCCAAAUUUGUCCGUGAAAGGCGUGAUGUUUGAGUACCUCAAGAUUAGGUAAUUUACUGAGAAUGUUCAUGUCUUCCCAUUGUAGGUGUGUUCUGCACAAUUUUAACAUUUUAAGGUUUGGUGGGAAAUUGUCACAAUGUGGAAUGUGUAGCCGAGGAGAGAUAGGGUACUCCCUAUAUUUUGAGCUUCUCAAGCUGAGUUAAAUGUACGAGGUUAUCUGGGAAAGCCUUGUGGUCAACACGAUGGCUCCAUGCCAUGGACCUGCAGUUGACGAUUUUCACACAUUAUUUAGUCUAUAAAUAAACUCGUUUGUGUAGAUGAUCAUAAUGGAAGUCGAAUCGUGUUGACCAUAAGGCUUGUAGAUGUUGCCUCUUGUGCUUGCUCUGGCAAUUCCCUUCACCAGAUGCUCUUUCUGAGCCUGGAGGAAAGCUGGACUCUUUUACGCGAUAAGGUCUUUGGGAGUGGUGAUUAUCCUGCGGAAUUGGAGCUUACAGUUGUUGCAAUGGGUGGACUACUUUCCAAGAUGAGCAAGGAAACAAGUUCUUGGGAGAAUGUUGCAGAAAAGAUAGGAUCACUUAUGACCAGUGACACUAUGGAUUGCUUGAACAUACUUUCUUUGAGCUACAACCACUUGCCUCAGUACUUGUAAGAUGCAUGAUCUCGUUCGAGAUAUGUGUUUAAGAGAAGCCCAAAAUGAGAACUUUAUACACUUCAAAACGAGGUAUGAUCACGAUGGUGUUCUAGAAAACGUUAGUUGUCUACGUCGUGUAGUUGUAUUCAAUAAAUCACAAACACUGAAAGUAUAGAUAUCCCAGUGGACUUUCUAUACUCAUGCCAUUCACACGUUCUGUUUUCUUCAAAUAUCCAUCCUAUUGUAAUUUACCCUCACAAUCAGGCUUUAGAUUACUUAGGAUAUUAGAUGUUUGAUUUGCUCUUGAUAUCAGAACUUGUUCAUUUGAGGUAUCACAACACACCUACAAUGGGAAGACAUGAACAUUCUCAGUAAAUUACCUAAUCUUGAGGUACUCAAACAUCAUGCCUUUCACGGACAAAUUUAGAAACUACACAAUGAAGAGGAAGAUGGAUUCUCGCGACUAAAGUUUUUACUUCUUGAGGACAUGAAUCUGAAGCAAUGGGAAGCAGCAAGUUAUCAUUUCCCGAGCCUUGAACACUGAAUACUAACAGCUUGCAUUUACUUGGAACAAAUUCCUUUCGACUUUGCGGAUAAUCAGACACUACAGCUGAUUGAACCACACAAAUGUAAGCUUUCUGUUAUUGCUUCAGCAGAGCAAAUACAAGAAGAGCAACAAAGCUUGGGAAAUGAUGACCUUAUUGUUCAUGUGCACUAUAUAGACAAAAUGCUGAGUUGAAGGAAAUCACAAUAAGGAAGAUCACCGUGAUGCUGUUGUUUUCUUCUUUCACCAGCUGUGGUGUAUAUAGAUUCUAAUAAAACAUGUUCUAUUUCUUUGUAAAUCGCCCGGCCUUCUUUUUUUGAAAUAUUUUGUUCUCUUUCUGAAUUUAGACCUCUCGUAAAUCGCU